AACGAACGCUGGCGGCAGGCUUAACACAUGCAAGUCGAACGAGACCUUCCGGUCUAGCGGCGGACGGGUGAGUAACCCGUGGGAACGUGCCCUUCUCUACGGAAUAGCCCCGGGAAACUGAUAGUAAUACCGUAUACGCGCUUUGGGCGAAAGAUUCAUCGAGCAAGGAUCGGCCCGGGUUGGAUGAGGUAGUUGGUUGGGAAAUGGCCCAUCAAGGCGAGGAUCCAUAGAUGGUGUGAGAGGAUGAUCAGCCACACUGGGAGUGAGACACGGCCCAGACUCCUACGGGAUGCAGCAGUGGGGAAUGUUAGACAAUCGGGGCAAUCCUGAUCUAGCUAUGCCGGGUGAGCGAUGAAGGCAUUAGGGUUGUAAAGCUCUUUUAGCUGGGAAGAUAUUGACGGUACCAGAAGAAGAAGCCACGGCUAACUCCGUG
RNAcentral lists this ribosomal RNA (433 nucleotides) under uncultured bacterium. RNAcentral describes it as "partial 16S ribosomal RNA". It matches the Rfam family "Bacterial small subunit ribosomal RNA", at positions 29 to 507 of the family's 1533-position model. The record is from RNAcentral.